Molecule: non-coding RNA, 81 nt
Organism: Brugia pahangi
Lineage: Eukaryota; Metazoa; Nematoda; Chromadorea; Rhabditida; Onchocercidae
Source: Rfam
UGACCAAAGAACGAAUCGUCGAAUCGGAUGUCUGAGUUAAUUAGUCAGAGAAAUUCGAAUCGACAUUCGACCUGUGGUCAU